GAAAAUGAGUCCAGUGACAUUGAUAGCCUAUUUAGCUUUGUCUGUGCUUUCUGCGAUGAUGGUGGUGAUCUCUUGUGUUGUGAAGGGAGGUGCCUAAGGUCCUUUCAUCCAACUGUAGAGUCUGCUGUGGGUUCUGAUUGCAAAUCUCUUGGCUUUACCAAGGAUGAAGUAGAUGCGACGCAAAAUUACUUUUGCAAGAACUGUAAAUAUAAACAGCACCAGUGCUUUGCUUGUGGGAAGCUA
Non-coding RNA from Prunus mume (Japanese apricot), 243 nucleotides. Lineage: Eukaryota; Viridiplantae; Streptophyta; Magnoliopsida; Rosales; Rosaceae. The record is from RefSeq and is a predicted model, not a curated record.